This is a long non-coding RNA of Perognathus longimembris pacificus (Pacific pocket mouse), 150 nucleotides long. RefSeq lists it as uncharacterized. NCBI's taxonomy places the organism in Eukaryota, Metazoa, Chordata, Mammalia, Rodentia, Heteromyidae. The transcript is spliced from 3 exons. The record is from RefSeq and is a predicted model, not a curated record.
UGUAACCAAUCUGGAGGAAGGUGCAGAACCAAGGGUGGGAGAGGCCCCGGACAAGAAUUUCACAGAUGUCCUGGAAAUUGAUGACAUGAUUAAGAAUUGCCAGGAAAGUCCAGAAGAAUGGCUAUGUGAAGUAGCAGUCACCAAAAGCAA